Molecule: long non-coding RNA, 2578 nt
Organism: Mercenaria mercenaria
Lineage: Eukaryota; Metazoa; Mollusca; Bivalvia; Venerida; Veneridae
Exons: 3
Source: RefSeq, a predicted model, not a curated record
UUAUCAAUUAUGUAUGUCAUAUUCAGUUUGCUGUCAUGUAAAAGCUUGUCAUGAUUCUUUUUCUCUUUUUCGUUAGUGUAUUUUCUCAGACUGUUUUCGGGCAGGAGAUAUCGGACAAGGAUACAUUGCUGGCAGUUUUAAAUGAAUUAGAUAUUCUAAAAAAGCUCGCUGCGUGAAUAUAGCAUCAAGCUGAGGCAGUUAGACGAUCUGAAAGUUCGUACGCUUGCACUUGAAAAUAAAGUGGUGGAAUUAAAACGAGAAAAUAAAGAAUUGAACAGAAAAGUGCAUCAACUUGAAAGUAAAUGUGCGGAGCAUGCACCACAGGCGGGUGAAAAUUCAGAAUAUUCAGAAGUUUCCGUUCACAAAAUGCACCAAAGCAACAUGACGCUAAUACCGGCAAUUGAUGUGAAAAUGUCAUCAACUCAGCAUGCACGUCAACGAAUUCGUAGAUCAAGCCAGGUCUCCUCUCAGCCGCAGGUAGCAUUUACAGCUGUGGAGUAUCAAUUCAGAACCUAGUCAAUCUUGGCAGCCAGCACAUUAUUAUAUUCGAUAAAGCAAUCACAAACAUUGGUAAUGCGUACCACCCGCACACUGGCAUCUUCAUUGCUCCAGUCAAGGGCGCUUACGUAUUCACGCUUACUAUGACAGUACAGCCUGGCCAUAUUCAAUCUCUGGAUUUGACUGUUGAUGGUGUUUACAUUAAUUACAUAUCUGCCGGUCCAGCAGCCUCACAUGACUACGCUUCUACAACGAAACAAUGGAUUCUAGAACUCAAUAACAGUUCUGAAGUGUGGGUCCGGACUCAAACUACUGCAAGUAACAAUCGAGAACUGCACGGAAAUAUGAAUACUCUCGUGUCUGGUUUUCUUUUAUUUCAAACCGAGUAAAAACAAAAUACCUGCGGUAUUGCACAAAAUAGCACCUGAGGCCAACAUCUACGUACAAUGUGUUUUUUAAUUUACAUUCCUUUUUUCUUGUGUGGGUACAUGUAUUUCUAUUGAAUACUAAAUUAUAUAUUUCUUACGUUCAAUAACUUCCUUGCUGAAAGAGACGAUCCAUUAGAGAAAAUCAAGUGAUAGCAUAUAAAUGAAAUGCCGGACAUUUUGUACGCUCUCUAAAUGUUUUAACCUUGUUUCACUCCGUAAAUAUUCUUGUAUUUGGUAUCACUUUUUUCUUAAUGCAAGAUACACUUAUUUUCGUAAAUUCAUUAAUUAAUUUUGAUACUAAUUUCCAUUUGAUGAUGUUUAGUCUGUUGAAGAGGCCAGUUAUCAUGUUUGUAUGCUUACGAAUUUGUAUGCUUCUGUGGCCAGCAAGACAAUAGAUAACCUCAAGACGAGUAAAGAAGGAAAUUUGCGUUGUCCCUGUUUCCACCAGUUUCUUCGUCUGUUUAUCCACCCGUUCAUCCGAAGCCAUAUAGCUGUUAUGACGGCCGCAUUGAGUUAAUAUAAGAUAUUAGUGUUUGGCUGUUUGCAUUCAACAUAGCUUCUUUCCUGCAAGUGUUGUGAAUUUCAUCUCAUUAUAUGAUCAAACUUGUGACUCCUAAUUUCUUAAGAAAUUAUCAUAUACUAAUAUGUAUGUAAAAAUUGUUUUAAUAUCGGAAUUAUUCCCUGAGGAAAGCAUUUAGUCGAAACUUCGAAAUACCAGUAAACUGUAAUUCGACUGCGUGUUUGGUUUUUAUGCACUGCAUUACUGAUAUAUAUGGUAUAUAAACUUUACUUCGCUUGGUUGGUUUCCAAAAGAGCCUUUAUAUUCUCCAGUCAAUGGGUUUUAAUUGACCUAUUUACCAGACAGUUUUUGCUACUAAAUGAAAUAACUUUGAUCUCAUUUGUUAGAUGUUCUUUCAUUUCUUUGUAAAUGACGUCUCUUCUCUAGUAUAUGUUUUCCAAAAUAUACAGUCGUAUUAGUACUACUUGGAGAUCAUGUUAUUUUCUAAAUGUAGUCAAAACGUACGUGUACAGUAUGGUGAUAGCACUUGAAUUAAACUAACAUGUCUGUGUGUUAUUGUGGUCCUGAAAGCAUAGGUAGGUACAGAUAUUGUUCCCAUAACAUUAAUGUACAUGAAAAGUGUUUAAAAUUAAGAAUAAAUAUGUAGUGAAGGCCAAUGCAAACAUUAAGAAUAAAUUCACACGUUCCACAGCACAGAGAUAAUUCAAUUCUCUCCUGACACUCAAUGUCUUGUCGGUUUUGCACAUUUAAAUAUAUGCCUUUUGAACUGUUUAUUUUCAGGAAUUUGCGACAAUGCCGCUAUAUGUCUUUUAAGUUAAUUGAUAAAAAUGGUUAUUAAAAGUGUUUUGCCUUUUUAAGGCAAACAGUGUUCAAGUUUGCAUUAUUUGAUAUUUUCGCAAGCUAAUGGCGAGUUUCAUGUUGCUAGGCAACUAAAGAACAUACUGAUUGUGGGCAUAGAAGUGCAUUUUCCUAUGUUUGCUUCGGAAUAUUGCUGAUUCUAACAGUCAACUCUCUAAAUCAACAUCUUGUGUAAACUUUCGAGAAAAUUGUGUCAGUCAGUCUAGACACAGGUGUUGUCAAAAGCGUCCUAUUAUUUCCUUAGAAAUGGCUCAAAUUAAAAAUUUUGAGAAUA